Molecule: unclassified non-coding RNA, 253 nt
Filed under: uncultured Halomonadaceae bacterium
Lineage: Bacteria; Pseudomonadati; Pseudomonadota; Gammaproteobacteria; Oceanospirillales; Halomonadaceae
Description: contains 16S-23S intergenic spacer region
Rfam family: Bacterial small subunit ribosomal RNA
Source: RNAcentral
UACGGAGGGUGCGAGCGUUAAUCGGAAUUACUGGGCGUAAAGCGCGCGUAGGUGUCUUUGUAAGCCGGUUCUGAAAGCCCCGGGCCCAACCUGGGAACGGCAUCCGGAACUGUCAAGCUAGAGUGCAGGAGAGGAAGGUAGAAUUCCCGGUGUAGCGGUGAAAUGCGUAGAGAUCGGGAGGAAUACCAGUGGCGAAGGCGGCCUUCUGGACUGACACUGACACUGAGGUGCGAAAGCGUGGGUAGCAAACAGG